AAAAGGUGCCCCCACUACCA
This 20-nucleotide transfer RNA is filed under the name Hemiphyllodactylus montawaensis. Its description in RNAcentral is "partial tRNA-Tyr". The record is from RNAcentral. Lineage: Eukaryota; Metazoa; Chordata; Lepidosauria; Squamata; Gekkonidae.